Molecule: ribosomal RNA, 253 nt
Filed under: uncultured bacterium
Lineage: Bacteria
Description: partial 16S ribosomal RNA
Rfam family: Bacterial small subunit ribosomal RNA
Source: RNAcentral
UACGGAGGGUGCAAGCGUUAUCCGGAUUCACUGGGUUUAAAGGGUGCGUAGGUGGGUUGAUAAGUCAGUGGUGAAAUCCCCGAGCUUAACUUGGGAACUGCCAUUGAUACUAUUGAUCUUGAAUACCGUGGAGGUCAGCGGAAUAUGUCAUGUAGCGGUGAAGUGCUUAGAUAUGACAUAGAACACCAAUUGCGAAGGCAGCUGGCUACGCGAAUAUUGACUCUGAGGCACGAAAGCGUGGGGAUCAAACAGG